Molecule: ribosomal RNA, 2356 nt
Filed under: Salmonella enterica subsp. enterica serovar Enteritidis str. 76-2651
Lineage: Bacteria; Pseudomonadati; Pseudomonadota; Gammaproteobacteria; Enterobacterales; Enterobacteriaceae
Description: bacterial LSU rRNA
Rfam family: Bacterial large subunit ribosomal RNA
Source: RNAcentral
UGUGACUGCGUACCUUUUGUAUAAUGGGUCAGCGACUUAUAUUCUGUAGCAAGGUUAACCGAAUAGGGGAGCCGGAGGGAAACCGAGUCUUAAUUGGGCGUUAAGUUGCAGGGUAUAGACCCGAAACCCGGUGAUCUAGCCAUGGGCAGGUUGAAGGUUGGGUAACACUAACUGGAGGACCGAACCGACUAAUGUUGAAAAAUUAGCGGAUGACCUGUGGCUGGGGGUGAAAGGCCAAUCAAACCGGGAGAUAGCUGGUUCUCCCCGAAAGCUAUUUAGGUAGCGCCUCGUGAAUUCAUCUCCGGGGGUAGAGCACUGUUUCGGCUAGGGGGCCAUCCCGGCUUACCAACCCGAUGCAAACUGCGAAUACCGGAGAAUGUUAUCACGGGAGACACACGGCGGGUGCUAACGUCCGUCGUGAAGAGGGAAACAACCCAGACCGCCAGCUAAGGUCCCAAAGUCAUGGUUAAGUGGGAAACGAUGUGGGAAGGCCCAGACAGCCAGGAUGUUGGCUUAGAAGCAGCCAUCAUUUAAAGAAAGCGUAAUAGCUCACUGGUCGAGUCGGCCUGCGCGGAAGAUGUAACGGGGCUAAACCAUGCACCGAAGCUGCGGCAGCGACACUGUGUGUUGUUGGGUAGGGGAGCGUUCUGUAAGCCUGUGAAGGUGUGUCGUGAGGCAUGCUGGAGGUAUCAGAAGUGCGAAUGCUGACAUAAGUAACGAUAAAGCGGGUGAAAAGCCCGCUCGCCGGAAGACCAAGGGUUCCUGUCCAACGUUAAUCGGGGCAGGGUGAGUCGACCCCUAAGGCGAGGCCGAAAGGCGUAGUCGAUGGGAAACGGGUUAAUAUUCCCGUACUUGGUGUUACUGCGAAGGGGGGACGGAGAAGGCUAUGUUGGCCGGGCGACGGUUGUCCCGGUUUAAGCGUGUAGGUGUGUGUUCCAGGUAAAUCCGGUUCACUUUAACACUGAGGCGUGACGACGAGGCACUACGGUGCUGAAGCAACAAAUGCCCUGCUUCCAGGAAAAGCCUCUAAGCAUCAGGUAACAUCAAAUCGUACCCCAAACCGACACAGGUGGUCAGGUAGAGAAUACCAAGGCGCUUGAGAGAACUCGGGUGAAGGAACUAGGCAAAAUGGUGCCGUAACUUCGGGAGAAGGCACGCUGACACGUAGGUGAAGUGAUUUACUCAUGGAGCUGAAGUCAGUCGAAGAUACCAGCUGGCUGCAACUGUUUAUUAAAAACACAGCACUGUGCAAACACGAAAGUGGACGUAUACGGUGUGACGCCUGCCCGGUGCCGGAAGGUUAAUUGAUGGGGUCAGCGCAAGCGAAGCUCCUGAUCGAAGCCCCGGUAAACGGCGGCCGUAACUAUAACGGUCCUAAGGUAGCGAAAUUCCUUGUCGGGUAAGUUCCGACCUGCACGAAUGGCGUAAUGAUGGCCAGGCUGUCUCCACCCGAGACUCAGUGAAAUUGAACUCGCUGUGAAGAUGCAGUGUACCCGCGGCAAGACGGAAAGACCCCGUGAACCUUUACUAUAGCUUGACACUGAACAUUGAGCCUUGAUGUGUAGGAUAGGUGGGAGGCUUUGAAGUGUGGACGCCAGUCUGCAUGGAGCCGACCUUGAAAUACCACCCUUUAAUGUUUGAUGUUCUAACGUGGACCCGUUACCCGGGUUGCGGACAGUGUCUGGUGGGUAGUUUGACUGGGGCGGUCUCCUCCUAAAGAGUAACGGAGGAGCACGAAGGUUGGCUAAUCCUGGUCGGACAUCAGGAGGUUAGUGCAAUGGCAUAAGCCAGCUUGACUGCGAGCGUGACGGCGCGAGCAGGUGCGAAAGCAGGUCAUAGUGAUCCGGUGGUUCUGAAUGGAAGGGCCAUCGCUCAACGGAUAAAAGGUACUCCGGGGAUAACAGGCUGAUACCGCCCAAGAGUUCAUAUCGACGGCGGUGUUUGGCACCUCGAUGUCGGCUCAUCACAUCCUGGGGCUGAAGUAGGUCCCAAGGGUAUGGCUGUUCGCCAUUUAAAGUGGUACGCGAGCUGGGUUUAGAACGUCGUGAGACAGUUCGGUCCCUAUCUGCCGUGGGCGCUGGAGAACUGAGGGGGGCUGCUCCUAGUACGAGAGGACCGGAGUGGACGCAUCACUGGUGUUCGGGUUGUCAUGCCAAUGGCACUGCCCGGUAGCUAAAUGCGGAAGAGAUAAGUGCUGAAAGCAUCUAAGCACGAAACUUGCCCCGAGAUGAGUUCUCCCUGAGACUUAGAGUCUCCUGAAGGAACGUUGAAGACGACGACGUUGAUAGGCCGGGUGUGUAAGCGCAGCGAUGCGUUGAGCUAACCGGUACUAAUGAACCGUGAGGCUUAACCUUAC